AGCGAACGCUGGCGGCAGGCCUAACACAUGCAAGUCGAACGAACUCUUCGGAGUUAGUGGCGGACGGGUGAGUAACACGUGGGAACGUGCCUUUUGGUUCGGAAUAACUCAGGGAAACUUGUGCUAAUACCGAAUGUGCCCUUCGGGGGAAAGAUUUAUCGCCAUUAGAGCGGCCCGCGUCUGAUUAGCUAGUUGGUGAGGUAACGGCUCACCAAGGCGACGAUCAGUAGCUGGUCUGAGAGGAUGACCAGCCACACUGGAACUGAGACACGGUCCAGACUCCUACGGGAGGCAGCAGUGGGGAAUAUUGGACAAUGGGCGAAAGCCUGAUCCAGCCAUGCCGCGUGAAUGAUGAAGGUCUUAGGAUUGUAAAAUUCUUUCACCGGGGACGAUAAUGACGGUACCCGGAGAAGAAGCCCCGGCUAACUUCGUG
RNAcentral lists this ribosomal RNA (433 nucleotides) under uncultured bacterium. RNAcentral describes it as "partial 16S ribosomal RNA". It matches the Rfam family "Bacterial small subunit ribosomal RNA", at positions 29 to 507 of the family's 1533-position model. The record is from RNAcentral.